AGCCCAAUGUGAGACCUUUGGGAUAUACUAAAUGCUUAACAUAUACCACAGUAAUAUGUAUUAAUAAGAAUUCAGUCAACUAUGAUCAUUUCUGGGCAACUCAAUAACUUCUCCCCUCCAUUUCCUCCCAUCCCAGUCAAAAGCCACCAAGCCCAGCCAAUCAGCAGAGAGGAGAUCUCGGUUACCCACCGCUCCAACCCCAGGGUCCCCGGCUCUAUUUCAGGCCACUUGGAGCUCAGAGACAGGUGGAACCACAGUCCUCUCUUUCUUGUCUCCUCCCCAGAGCCCUGAGCACUGUAAGUGGAGACAUGCUGGGUUCUAUCACCCUCCUUCUCACCACCCUGCUCCCUGCCGUCCAGACGGCACUCACUCUGGACCAACCCAUGGUCUCCAUCACCCAAAAGGCUGGAACUUCUGCAACAUUUCCCUGUGAGUUUUCUGACACAAGAUUCAAGUACAUCCACUGGUAUCGUCAGCAGCCUGGGCAAGCUCCCCAGCGCCUCCUCUACUAUAACAUGGACACGACUGAAGUCACCCUGGAAUCAGGAGUCAAUAAAAACAAAAUUCAUGCUUACAAGUCAAAUGAUGGAAGCUGCUUCUUGUUCGUCCAGAAACUGGACAGGAAUGACGCCGGCUUCUAUUACUGUGCCGGCUGGGUCUCCACGUUGACGCAGUUUCCUCCACCGCCCGAUGCAGUGGUCACCUUGGAGCAGGGGCUGGUCUCCGUCACCAUCCAAAAGGGCAAAAAUGUGGACCUCUUCUGUAAAAGCACCGGCAAACUCUCAGGCUGUGUCCACUGCUGCCUGCGGGCUCUGGGCCCGGACGGGCCAUGCGCCGUGCACGUGCCGGAGCUCCAGCUGAGGGUGCCAGGGUGUCGAUGGGACACGGGGACGACCACAGCCCCCUUGCACGCCUGA
This is a non-coding RNA of Ornithorhynchus anatinus (platypus), 917 nucleotides long. NCBI's taxonomy places the organism in Eukaryota, Metazoa, Chordata, Mammalia, Monotremata, Ornithorhynchidae. The record is from the annotation of a RefSeq genome assembly.